UCUGGAGUGGGAUGCCGAUUUCCCGCCGGACGGGGCUGUCACGCGACUGUGACUUCCGGCUCUUGCUACUCGCACUCUAUUGCAUUCGGGGGAUUAGCUCAGCUGGCUAGAGCACCUGCUUUGCAAGCAGGGGGUCAACGGUUCGAAUCCGUUAUUCUCCACCAAGGAAAGCGCACAUUGACAUGUUGGAAGCGAGUAAAGAAUCCUGAAAAGGACGAUUUACAACGAGCAAAUCAAAGAAAACUCAUUAAUACAAUCUCUGAAGAGCGCCGCCGGCAAGACGGUGGCGAACCAAAAAAUAUAAGGAAAGGAGAAAAGGGCACAUGAAGGAUGCCUAGGCUCUCGGAGGCGACGAAGGACGUGACAAGCUGCGAUAAGCCGUGCCCAGGGGCAAAUACCCGCACAAGCACGGAUUUC
Molecule: small RNA, 417 nt
Filed under: uncultured bacterium
Lineage: Bacteria
Description: bacterial LSU rRNA
Rfam family: Bacterial large subunit ribosomal RNA (bases 304-417)
Source: RNAcentral